Molecule: ribosomal RNA, 765 nt
Filed under: Oenococcus oeni
Lineage: Bacteria; Bacillati; Bacillota; Bacilli; Lactobacillales; Lactobacillaceae
Description: bacterial SSU rRNA
Rfam family: Bacterial small subunit ribosomal RNA
Source: RNAcentral
GGAUUAGAUACCCCGGUAGUCCAUACCGUAAACGAUGGGUGCUAGUUGUUAAGAGGUUUCCGCCUCCUAGUGACGUAGCAAACGCAUUAAGCACCCCGCCUGAGGAGUACGGCCGCAAGGCUAAAACUUAAAGGAAUUGACGGGGACCCGCACAAGCGGUGGAGCAUGUGGUUUAAUUCGAAGAUACGCGAAAAACCUUACCAGGUCUUGACAUACCAAUGAUCGCUUUUGUAAUGAAAGCUUUUCUUCGGAACAUUGGAUACAGGUGGUGCAUGGUCGUCGUCAGCUCGUGUCGUGAGAUGUUGGGUUAAGUCCCGCAACGAGCGCAACCCUUGUUAUUAGUUGCCAGCAUUUAGUUGGGCACUCUAAUGAGACUGCCGGUGAUAAACCGGAGGAAGGUGGGGACGACGUCAGAUCAUCAUGCCCCUUAUGACCUGGGCAACACACGUGCUACAAUGGGAAGUACAACGAGUCGCAAACCGGCGACGGUAAGCUAAUCUCUUAAAACUUCUCUCAGUUCGGACUGGAGUCUGCAACUCGACUCCACGAAGGCGGAAUCGCUAGUAAUCGCGAAUCAGCAUGUCGCGGUGAAUACGUUCCCGGGUCUUGUACACACCGCCCGUCAAAUCAUGGGAGUCGGAAGUACCCAAAGUCGCUUGGCUAACUUUUAGAGGCCGGUGCCUAAGGUAAAAUCGAUGACUGGGAUUAAGUCGUAACAAGGUAGCCGUAGGAGAACCUGCGGCUGGAUCACCUCCUUUCUAAGGA